Molecule: transfer RNA, 74 nt
Filed under: Phycisphaerae bacterium
Lineage: Bacteria; Pseudomonadati; Planctomycetota; Phycisphaerae
Also listed under: 2 other names
Description: tRNA-Arg
Rfam family: tRNA
About the family: Transfer RNA (tRNA) molecules are approximately 80 nucleotides in length.
Source: RNAcentral
GCGCUCGUAGCUCAAUUGGAUAGAGUAACUGGCUUCGAACCAGUAGGUUGGAGGUUCGAGUCCUCCCGGGCGCA